RNAcentral lists this transfer RNA (82 nucleotides) under Myxococcales bacterium. RNAcentral's name for it is "tRNA-Leu". It matches the Rfam family "tRNA". From Rfam's summary of the family: Transfer RNA (tRNA) molecules are approximately 80 nucleotides in length. The record is from RNAcentral. Lineage: Bacteria; Pseudomonadati; Myxococcota; Myxococcia; Myxococcales.
GCCCGGGUGGCGAAACGGUAGACGCAGCACACUAAGGAUGUGUGGUCCUCGCGACGUGAGGGUUCGACUCCCUCCCCGGGCA